UGCAACAAACAGAAGGGACCUGCCAACUCAUAGCUGAACCACCAGGGCAGGACCGUUGGUGCCAGCCCAGGAUGUGACGGUGGUUGAGGGGCGGCUGACGUCCAUCAGGGCUCCAGCCCAGAACAUCCACUCUACAUAGUUACCACCAUGUGCCCCGAAGGACCAGAGGAAUCCACCUCCCAGUCCUGGCAGGGUGACCAGGAGCAGGAAACCUUGCAGGCAGCUGGAAGAGCAUGACCCGCAAUGGGAACACAGAGGCUCAGAGUACCUUCCCUCAAGAUCUCACACAGAGAAAGCAUAGGGAGUCAGACCUUCAUCCCAGCUGUCUGGCUUUUCCUAGAAGUUGCUUCCCCCUCUGCAGUACAUCCACUGCAUUGAGCCUGUCCUCUCUGGGUCUCCGCAAAAAGACACAGCUGGGAACCGCGAAGGACACCAAGCCAGAAGCAGAAGAGGGGGACUUGGAGGUAGGAAAGCCAGCCCAUGGGGAAAAAAAGAAUGCUGAGGCCCAGGGCACCGGGGCCAAAUUUCUGCCAUUCAGAGGAGCCCAGUCACGCAGUCCUGCCAAGUUCUGCUGUGCCCUGCCAAACAUUAUUGUCUUGGAGGAACAACACCACUAAAUUCCAUUGUCCUUGGGAGGGCUCUGCAGACCCUCCAGUGUCAAUGGAAGUGUCUGUGUUAGAUCCACAGAGCUCAGAGGGAGAAGGAGCAGGUCCUGUGUGGGCACCCAACAGUCUUAUUACAUACAAUUCUCAAAACAGCCUCUUUCAACAGAGGAGCCUAAGAAAGUGAGGGCACUUGCUCACAGCCUCACGACAUUGGUGGAAUAUUAUUGCAAGGGCUCCCCAAAUUUUCCCCAUCAGAAGGCUCCUGAGCCCUGACUAGCCAAGGGGAGACUGCAGGUGGCUUAAAGAUCCACCCAGUAAAGCCCUCUAAUGUCCCGUCUGAGGGUCCCUGAUUUGGCAAGCCGCACCCUAGGUAGGCCCAAAAUGUUUCCCCAUCUCUCACCUCUUUGGGGACAGGGAAUAAAGUCAUCAACAAUCACAAAUCUGCAAUUAAUAAAAAUGAUGUGAAGUGGCUCUUAUGAAUAUGAUCAUAAUACAUUCAGGGUUACAAAUACAUUCAGGUUACAAAAUAACAUGUGCAAUAUGAUCUCAUUUGAAAAUUGCAUAGAAA
Canis lupus familiaris (dog) is the source of this 1173-nucleotide long non-coding RNA. RefSeq lists it as uncharacterized. The transcript is spliced from 3 exons. The record is from RefSeq and is a predicted model, not a curated record. Lineage: Eukaryota; Metazoa; Chordata; Mammalia; Carnivora; Canidae.